UACCAGCACCCCGAGUGGUCGGGGCGUUUAUUGGGCCUAAAGCGUCCGUAGCCGGUUCUACAAGUCUUCCGUUAAAUCCACCUGCUUAACAGAUGGGCUGCGGACGAUACUAUAGAGCUAGGAGGCGGGAGAGGCAAGCGGUACUCGAUGGGUAGGGGUAAAAUCCGUUGAUCCAUUGAAGACCACCAGUGGCGAAGGCGGCUUGCCAGAACGCGCUCGACGGUGAGGGAUGAAAGCUGGGGGAGCAAACCGG
Molecule: ribosomal RNA, 253 nt
Filed under: uncultured bacterium
Lineage: Bacteria
Description: partial 16S ribosomal RNA
Rfam family: Archaeal small subunit ribosomal RNA
Source: RNAcentral